UGCCAGACUCCUACGGGAGGCAGCAGUGGGGAAUAUUGCACAAUGGGGGAAACCCUGAUGCAGCAACGCCGCGUGAGUGAAGAAGUAUUUCGGUAUGUAAAGCUCUAUCAGCAGGGAAGAGAAUGACGGUACCUGACUAAGAAGCCCCGGCUAACUACGUGCCAGCAGCCGCGGUAAUACGUAGGGGGCGAGCGUUAUCCGGAUUUACUGGGUGUAAAGGGAGCGUAGACGGUUCUGCAAGUCUGAAGUGAAAGCCCGUGGCUUAACCGCGGAACGGCUUUGGAAACUGUGGAACUGGAGUGCUGGAGAGGUAAGCGGAAUUCCUAGUGUAGCGGUGAAAUGCGUAGAUAUUAGGAGGAACACCAGUGGCGAAGGCGGCUUACUGGACUGUAACUGACGUUGAGGCUCGAAAGCGUGGGGAGCAAACAGGAUUAGAUCCCCGAGUA
This 446-nucleotide ribosomal RNA is filed under the name uncultured bacterium. Its description in RNAcentral is "bacterial SSU rRNA". It matches the Rfam family "Bacterial small subunit ribosomal RNA", at positions 329 to 792 of the family's 1533-position model. The record is from RNAcentral.